GUCGUGGUUUAACCCCAGCCAGCAACUAAGCACCACGCAGCCGCUCACUCACUUCCCCCCGCCAGCGGGAUGGGGAAGAGAACCGGGGAGAAAAAAAAAUAAAAGUAAAAC
Haliaeetus leucocephalus (bald eagle) is the source of this 111-nucleotide long non-coding RNA. RefSeq lists it as uncharacterized. The record is from RefSeq and is a predicted model, not a curated record. NCBI's taxonomy places the organism in Eukaryota, Metazoa, Chordata, Aves, Accipitriformes, Accipitridae. The transcript is spliced from 3 exons.